Molecule: ribosomal RNA, 672 nt
Filed under: uncultured bacterium
Lineage: Bacteria
Description: bacterial SSU rRNA
Rfam family: Bacterial small subunit ribosomal RNA
Source: RNAcentral
CAAGUCGAGCGAGCGGAACCACAGAUUUACUUCGGUAAUGACGUUGGGAAAGCGAGCGGCGGAUGGGUGAGUAACACGUGGGGAACCUGCCCCUAAGUCUGGGAUACCAUUUGGAAACAGGUGCUAAUACCGGAUAAUAAAGCAGAUCGCAUGAUCAGCUUUUGAAAGGCGGCGUAAGCUGUCGCUAAGGGAUGGCCCCGCGGUGCAUUAGCUAGUUGGUAAGGUAACGGCUUACCAAGGCGACGAUGCAUAGCCGAGUUGAGAGACUGAUCGGCCACAUUGGGACUGAGACACGGCCCAAACUCCUACGGGAGGCAGCAGUAGGGAAUCUUCCACAAUGGACGCAAGUCUGAUGGAGCAACGCCGCGUGAGUGAAGAAGGUUUUCGGAUCGUAAAGAUCUGUUGUUGGUGAAGAAGGAUAGAGGUAGUAACUGGCCUUUAUUUGACGGUAAUCAACCAGAAAGUCACGGCUAACUACGUGCCAGCAGCCGCGGUAAUACGUAGGUGGCAAGCGUUGUCCGGAUUUAUUGGGCGUAAAGCGAGCGCAGGCGGAAAAAUAAGUCUAAUGUGAAAGCCCUCGGCUUAACCGAGGAACUGCAUCGGAAACUGUUUUUCUUGAGUGCAGAAGAGGAGAGUGGAACUCCAUGUGUAGCGGUGGAAUGCGUAGAUAUA